GUGAAUCAUCGAAUCUUUGAACGCACAUUGCGCCCGCCGGCAUUCCGGCGGGCAUGCCCGUUCGAGCGUCAUUUUAAUUCCUUCCCAGGAGGGAACCUUCUGUUUCUGCAGGGGUUUCUGCCAGGGGUGUUGGUACCGGGCGUCGCCAAGACGGCCGGAGCCUAAAUUUAGUGGCGGACGUGCAGGCGACCCCUAGCGCAGUAGAAAAACUCGCUUAGGAGGCUCGUAGCAGCGGACCACAGCCCAACGCAAAAGCCUUUUUUUGCAACCAAAACUUGACCUCGGAUCGGGUAGGACUACCCGCUGAACUUAAGCAUAUCAAUAAGCGGAGGA
Molecule: unclassified non-coding RNA, 333 nt
Filed under: Sordariomycetes sp.
Lineage: Eukaryota; Fungi; Ascomycota; Sordariomycetes
Description: partial contains 5.8S ribosomal RNA, internal transcribed spacer 2, and large subunit ribosomal RNA
Rfam family: 5.8S ribosomal RNA (bases 1-71)
Source: RNAcentral